GAUGAACGCUAGCGGGAGGCCUAACACAUGCAAGCCGAGCGGUAUUGUUUCUUCGGAAAUGAGAGAGCGGCGUACGGGUGCGGAACACGUGUGCAACCUGCCUUUAUCUGGGGGAUAGCCUUUCGAAAGGAAGAUUAAUACUCCAUAACAUAUUGAUUGGCAUCAAUUAAUAUUGAAAGCUCCGGCGGAUAGAGAUGGGCACGCGCAAGAUUAGCUAGUUGGUGAGGUAACGGCUCACCAAGGCGAUGAUCUUUAGGGGGCCUGAGAGGGUGAUCCCCCACACUGGUACUGAGACACGGACCAGACUCCUACGGGAGGCAGCAGUGAGGAAUAUUGGUCAAUGGGUGCAAGCCUGAACCAGCCAUCCCGCGUGAAGGACGACUGCCCUAUGGGUUGUAAACUUCUUUUGUAUAGGGAUAAACCUACCCUCGUGAGGGUAGCUGAAGGUACUAUACGAAUAAGCACCGGCUAACUCCGUGCCAGCAGCCGCGGUAAUACGGAGGGCGCAAGCGUUAUCCGGAUUUAUUGGGUUUAAAGGGUCCGUAGGCGGACUUAUAAGUCAGUGGUGAAAGCCUGUCGCUUAACGAUAGAACUGCCAUUGAUACUGUAAGUCUUGAGUAUAUUUGAGGUAGCUGGAAUAAGUAGUGUAGCGGUGAAAUGCAUAGAUAUUACUUAGAACACCAAUUGCGAAGGCAGGUUACCAAGAUAUAACUGACGCUGAGGGACGAAAGCGUGGGGAGCGAACAGGAUUAGAUACCCUGGUAGUCCACGCCGUAAACGAUGCUAACUCGUUUUUGGGCUUUAGGGUUCAGAGACCAAGCGAAAGUGAUAAGUUAGCCACCUGGGGAGUACGCUCGCAAGAGUGAAACUCAAAGGAAUUGACGGGGGCCCGCACAAGCGGUGGAUUAUGUGGUUUAAUUCGAUGAUACGCGAGGAACCUUACCAAGACUUAAAUGGGAAUUGACAGCUUUAGAAAUAGAGCUUUCUUCGGACAAUUUUCAAGGUGCUGCAUGGUUGUCGUCAGCUCGUGCCGUGAGGUGUUAGGUUAAGUCCUGCAACGAGCGCAACCCCUGUCACUAGUUGCCAUCAUUCAGUUGGGGACUCUAGUGGGACUGCCUACGCAAGUAGAGAGGAAGGUGGGGAUGACGUCAAAUCAUCACGGCCCUUACGUCUUGGGCCACACACGUAAUACAAUGGCCGGUACAGAGGGCAGCUACACAGCGAUGUGAUGCAAAUCUCGAAGGCCGGUCUCAGUUCGGAUUGGAGUCUGCAACUCGACUCUAUGAAGCUGGAAUCGCUAGUAAUCGCGCAUCAGCCAUGGCGCGGUGAAUACGUUCCCGGGCCU
RNAcentral lists this ribosomal RNA (1345 nucleotides) under uncultured bacterium. Its description in RNAcentral is "bacterial SSU rRNA". It matches the Rfam family "Bacterial small subunit ribosomal RNA", at positions 28 to 1381 of the family's 1533-position model. The record is from RNAcentral.